RNAcentral lists this ribosomal RNA (243 nucleotides) under uncultured bacterium. RNAcentral describes it as "partial 16S ribosomal RNA". It matches the Rfam family "Bacterial small subunit ribosomal RNA", at positions 89 to 334 of the family's 1533-position model. The record is from RNAcentral.
UGGCGACCGGCGCACGGGUGCGUAACGCGUAUGCAACCUACCCAUAACAGGGGGAUAACACUGAGAAAUUGGUACUAAUACCCCAUAACAUCAGGACCGGCAUCGGUUCUGGUUGAAAACUCCGGUGGUUAUGGAUGGGCAUGCGUUGUAUUAGCUGGUUGGUGAGGUAACGGCUCACCAAGGCAACGAUACAUAGGGGGACUGAGAGGUUAACCCCCACAUUGGUACUGAGACACGGACCAA